UGGGGAAUAUUGCACAAUGGGCGCAAGCCUGAUGCAGCGACGCCGCGUGAAGGAUGAAGUAUUUCGGUAUGUAAACUUCUAUCAGCAGGGAAGAAAAUGACGGUACCUGACUAAGAAGCCCCGGCUAACUACGUGCCAGCAGCCGCGGUAAUACGUAGGGGGCAAGCGUUAUCCGGAUUUACUGGGUGUAAAGGGAGCGUAGAUGGCAUGGCAAGUCUGAAGUGAAAGCCCGGGGCUUAACCCCGGGACUGCUUUGGAAACUGUUAAGCUAGAGUGCAGGAGGGGUAAGCGGAAUUCCUAGUGUAGCGGUGAAAUGCGUAGAUAUUAGGAGGAACACCGGUGGCGAAGGCGGCUUACUGGACUGUAACUGACAUUGAGGCUCGAAAGCGUGGGGAG
RNAcentral lists this ribosomal RNA (396 nucleotides) under uncultured Lachnospiraceae bacterium. RNAcentral describes it as "bacterial SSU rRNA". It matches the Rfam family "Bacterial small subunit ribosomal RNA", at positions 355 to 768 of the family's 1533-position model. Lineage: Bacteria; Bacillati; Bacillota; Clostridia; Lachnospirales; Lachnospiraceae. The record is from RNAcentral.